This 351-nucleotide ribosomal RNA is filed under the name uncultured bacterium. Its description in RNAcentral is "bacterial SSU rRNA". It matches the Rfam family "Bacterial small subunit ribosomal RNA", at positions 123 to 507 of the family's 1533-position model. The record is from RNAcentral.
AAUUUACCCAGUGGUACGGAAUAACUCAGGGAAACUUGUGCUAAUACCGUAUAAGCCCUUCGGGGGAAAGAUUUAUCGCCAUUGGAUGAGCCCGCGUUAGAUUAGUUUGUUGGUGGGGUAAUGGCCUACCAAGACUACGAUCUAUAGCUGGUCUGAGAGGAUGAUCAGCCACACUGGGACUGAGACACGGCCCAGACUCCUACGGGAGGCAGCAGUGGGGAAUAUUGGACAAUGGGGGCGAACCCUGAUCCAGCAAUGCCGCGUGUGUGAAGAAGGCCUGCGGGUUGUAAAGCACUUUCACCUGCGAAGAUGAUGACGGUAGCAGGAGAAGAAGCCCCGGCUAACUCCGUG